This 103-nucleotide small nuclear RNA is filed under the name Aegilops tauschii subsp. strangulata. The record is from RNAcentral. Lineage: Eukaryota; Viridiplantae; Streptophyta; Magnoliopsida; Poales; Poaceae.
GUCCCUUUGGGGACAUCCGAUAAAAUUGGAACGAUAUAGAGAAGAUUAGCAUGGCCCCUGCGCAAGGAUGACACGGACAAAUCGAGAUACGGUCCAAUUUUUU